UUUAGAUACCCCACUAUGCCUGAGCCUAAAUAUGCAGAUGCCAAAAAACUACACCCAGUUAAACUUAAAAGACCUGGCGGUGCUUGAAAUCUAUCUAGAGGAGCCUGUUUUUUAAUCGAUAAUCCACGUUAAACCUUACCUCCUCUCGCUUAUCAGCCUAUAUACCGCCGUCGACAGCCCAUUUUACAAAAAAUGCAGCAAACCAGGCUAACCCCCUAACACGACAGGCCAUGGCGUAGCUAAUGAGAAGGAAAACAAUGGGCUACAAUACCCUAACAUUUAAACGAAAGUCAUGUUGAAAAUUCAGGACGGAAGAAGGAUUUAGAAGUAAGAAGAACAAGAAAGUUCUUCCGAACACUGCCCUCAAGCACG
Molecule: ribosomal RNA, 372 nt
Filed under: Laudakia stellio (hardun)
Lineage: Eukaryota; Metazoa; Chordata; Lepidosauria; Squamata; Agamidae
Description: Stellagama stellio (hardun) partial small subunit ribosomal RNA
Source: RNAcentral